This 235-nucleotide long non-coding RNA is filed under the name Ananas comosus (pineapple). Its description in RNAcentral is "long non-coding RNA (ACOM_LNC017707)". The record is from RNAcentral. Lineage: Eukaryota; Viridiplantae; Streptophyta; Magnoliopsida; Poales; Bromeliaceae.
CUUAGCUACGAAGUCUGCAACUUCUCUUUUCAUUCCAAACCACCAAUAAGUCGACUUCAAAUCUUUAUACAUUUUCGUACUCCCAGGGUGUAACACAUACGGUGCCCGAUGUGUUUCCUUUAAAAUCUCCUCUUUAAUACCAGAAUCUGCCGGUACACAAAGUCGAUCACCAAAUUUCAACAGUCCCUGAUCAUCUACUCGAAAAUCACUAACAUGAUCAACAGUGAUCUUUGCU